This is a non-coding RNA of Oryza glaberrima (African rice), 193 nucleotides long. NCBI's taxonomy places the organism in Eukaryota, Viridiplantae, Streptophyta, Magnoliopsida, Poales, Poaceae. The record is from Rfam.
UGGGUUUGUCCUAAGACAAACUUCUUUAAGUUUUACCAACUUCAUAGAAAAGUAUAGCAGCAUUUCCAACUCAAAUCAAAUAUACUACAAUUCAAUAGUGGAUUUAAUUAAACUAAUUUGGUGUUAUAAAUGUUUCUAUGUUUUUAUAAAAGUUUAGUCAAACUUAAAGUAGUUUGACUUGGGACAAACCCAA